AUGCUCAGCCCCUGGUGUAGCAGAGCACUACAUGGGGAAGCAAUUCUGCUCUCAUUCAAUGCGCUGGGAGUUUGUUUCUCCUGUGUGCCAGGCCUGAGAUUGAUUGACUUCAAACUGCAGGUUGAGAGGAAGGACCAGCAAGUGGAAUUCAAAUACAGCUGGGAAAGAAGGUCCAUCCUGAUAAAAAAAGAGCUUAGGCCCAGCUGCCUUGGGAGACGUGGGAACAAAGCUGGCCAAGGCAUUGGAGAAACCACCAGGGAGGAACAUUUCUGAGCAGCACAAAACAUUCCAGGGACUAGAAGAGAGGAAAUGUGCAACAGGAGCUGUUUUCUGCUAGCUGGAAGACAGGAACUUUCUGGAUGUAAAAUGGAUAGUAUGUUUUCUAGAAGGAAAUUUAAAGUGGAUAUUAAAAGGAUAUAGCUGCAUGAUUAGAAACAGGAUUUUUAAGGAAACCAUGGGAUAUUGCAUGAAGCAGAUCUUCAAAGUGACCCAGCAUGGAAGUGUCUUGAAGAUGAGUGAGUGAGGUCCAUGAAGAGGAUGAGUACCAUGCAGCAUCCCAGCACCACGCAUCAAGAUGCCCACCCCAUCACCAAAUCCCUAGUCCUGAGCUCAACACCCCGAUUCUUAGUACGAUGCAUGAAUCAUAUUACAGAAAUGCCAGAGUGGUAAAUUAGAGUGGUGCAGUCCCCAACCCACUGCAGGGCAUGGGAUAGGGAGGAGAAGACAAGUUAAAGGCACGUUAUUCUUUCCUGGAGUUAAUGCUUCAUUCUGGACUGUCAUUUCUCGUUGUCUUCUCUAAACAGUGGAAGGAGUGGUUUGUGUCCCAUUACUCACUAAAUGGAGCAAUAAUCCUGUGAUGGCACCACUUCAGCUGGGGAAAGCUGAGGUAUAAAUCCUGUUUCUUUCCUUUCUGCAGCCAGUCGUCAAAUCUGAGUUUUUGCUUUUGCUCAACUUCUCAAUUAUAAAGCAAUCUCUCAUUUGGCUCAUAAGAAAAAGCUGCUUCCGUAGGCUUGAGUGCAGCUUUAAAAUGCCAUUUUGCAUAUGCAGACUCCAUUAUGUUGAAAUGAGCAGGCAAUGUAUUAUGUUGUCUCACUGUCUUUCUAGCUCUCCCCAUGACAAUAGAAAUUGAUGGAAAUUCAGUCAGACCCCAGUUGCUGUUUCUGGAACAUUGUAAGCAAAUAUGUGUGAGAUAAAGCAAAAUAAAAGAUGUGUUACUGCAACUAACA
Molecule: long non-coding RNA, 1226 nt
Filed under: Anas platyrhynchos platyrhynchos (common mallard)
Lineage: Eukaryota; Metazoa; Chordata; Aves; Anseriformes; Anatidae
Description: lncRNA (ENSAPLG00000024890.1)
Source: RNAcentral